AUUUAAGGUGCAAACAAGAAUUGUGGAAUUCUAAAUCCUCAAGACAAAAACCCGCCAUGGAAUCUAUGCUGUUUCUUGGUAAAGGACCCACAGUUCCUACCCUUGCACGCAUCCCUUCUUCUCUAAGCACUCCACGGGAGACUAAGCCUCAUUUCAGUCUUAGCCAUACUUGUGCUUAUUCACUUACCAGUGUCAAUACAUGCCGGCAGCCGAUCAGGCAUGUCUUCUAUCCAGUGAUUCGUGCGCUAGACGGAUCAUCCACACCAUCAAGAAAUUGCAGCAAUGAAAACAAAAUUAUGCGAGCCGCUGUGGGCGCAUCAAUAGCAUUGUCUUGUGUUCUCGGUAUCAUCGUUGCCUGCUUGAAGAUGAGCCCUAAAGCCAUAGCAGGGCCUAGGGAAUUAUAUCAGAAAGCUCCGCAAGCAGUACCAGCAUAUCCAAUAGGUGGGAAGUCUGCACUAAAAUCGUUACUGGACGUGAAUAUUUACCUGGCUUCAAGUAAAUUAGAGCCCCCAGGAACUCCUUCCAGGCUUCCUGCAAGACCUUCAGCUGAAGAGGUUAACGGUGUCAUAAAGAUGGAGGCAAUACGGCUAAUGAAAUAUGGGAACCCAGAAGAUGCAGUGUUAUUUCUUCGAAAUGCAUAUAAUAAAUAUAGAUACGAUCUUGAGCCUGCAUACAAUGUGGAGAUGGCAUUAGUAGAAAUUCUCAUCUGUCAGGGAAAAUACAUGGAAGCCUCGGAGUGUAACUGCAUUAAGGAUGACCAACGUAUACUUUCAGAUGGUCGAAUUCCUCUUUAUAAGGCUAUCAUAUAUACAAUGCUGGAUGACAAGGAAGAAGCAAAGAAAUGGUGGGAAAAGUAUGUGGAAACUGUUGAAGGAGAAUUUGACCCUAGAAGCUCUAAAAUUUAAUUAUAUGAACAUUCCAAUUGCAAGUUUACAACUCCAUUGUUUUAUUCAUGCCCUUGUUUAAUACAAUUAUUCGCUCAGAAUUUCUGUAAUAAGCUAGGAGAAAAGAAAAAGAUGAAAAUUGAUCCUUAAUUUUAGAAUGCCAACCCAAUUGUUAUGUUAAGCUCAUCUCUUGGGGCCUCGAGCCUGCAGGCUGAAUUAAGCUUGGGUGGACAGGACAAUAAAGGGUGACGUGCGAACCCAACACACAUCAUGUAGCACGUGUAGGAAAGGCCAAUGGGCCAUGUCUCCUUUCCUUCAUUCUGUCAUAAAUUGUAAAUGUCAAUUUUAUUCAUUAUAAAAAUCACGUAAUGCUAUAUUUUGGAG
This 1268-nucleotide unclassified non-coding RNA is filed under the name Hevea brasiliensis (rubber tree). The record is from RNAcentral. Lineage: Eukaryota; Viridiplantae; Streptophyta; Magnoliopsida; Malpighiales; Euphorbiaceae.